Molecule: small RNA, 48 nt
Filed under: Arabidopsis thaliana (thale cress)
Lineage: Eukaryota; Viridiplantae; Streptophyta; Magnoliopsida; Brassicales; Brassicaceae
Description: ATSL297090
Source: RNAcentral
GAUCCCCACAGACGGCGAAGUAGUUAAUUUUAUAUUUGAUGCUUUUUU